CUGAAGUGAGGAUGGAUGUGUUUUGAGAAUAACAAUGCAAUGAAAACAAUAACAAAAGACAACUCGAAUGAAAAACAAUCGAGACAAAAUUUACAUAAUUCACCUAAACGUUGAGCUAGUCCACGGUCAACAACUGAUCAAUUUCACUCUCAUUUAAAAAUUUUGUACUAUAUAAAAUUGCAAAAUCCUCUCCUUGUAUAAUGCUUAAAAACCCUAAUUCAACUCGAUAGUACAAAACUAUUAUCUCUGAAUUAAAGUUCGAAUCAGACUUCUCACCGAUAACAGGAGGGAUGCAGACCAUAGAAGGAACAAUAAAGAUACCAAUUUUGCUCCCGGAACUCAAUGAGCAUAAAAGAAAGGAUAAUUCAUAUGCAAGUUACGGUUGCUCUAGUACUCCUUGUCAGAAUGACUAAAACAGAAGGAAGCUCAAGAAGUGAUAGACUUCGAGAAAAGCACACAAAGCCUAGGGCCAAAGCGCAUCGCAAGGAGAAAACCAUGUGGAAAAGGAAACAUGAGGAAGAACCCUACACAUGAGAUAUACAUCAAAACAGUCAAAUAUGGUCUGCUCGCAAGGUGCCUAUGGAAGAAAGAGCACAAAGGAAUAAUUAUAAGGAGAAUCGUAAUAAUAAUAGAGAAAGUCGAGCUAGAGAAAGAGAACAAAGGAAUAAUAACAGGAGAAUCGUAAUCAUAAUAGAGAAAGUCGAGCUAGAGUACCACAACGCAAUCAAGGAGGGGAUCUGUGUAGCCAGAAGUGAAUGCGAGAAAGAUUACAAAUUAAAAGGAAGCAGUAAAGAGUUAGUCUAGGUAGUGACAAAAUUGAAAAAGAAAAAGCAGUUUCAAUUGUAUACGACCAUGAUGUCGCGAC
Molecule: long non-coding RNA, 865 nt
Filed under: Panax ginseng (ginseng)
Lineage: Eukaryota; Viridiplantae; Streptophyta; Magnoliopsida; Apiales; Araliaceae
Description: long non-coding RNA (PGIN_LNC011318)
Source: RNAcentral